GUCCACGCCGUAACGAUGGAUACUAGCUGUUGGGGCAACUUCAGUGGCUAAGCGAAAGUGAUAAGUAUCCCACCUGGGGAGUACGUUCGCAAGAAUGAAACUCAAAGGAAUUGACGGGGCCCGCACAAGCGGUGGAGCAUGUGGUUUAAUUCGAUGAUACGCGAGGAACCUUACCAAGGCUUAAAUGUAGAUUGACCGAUUUGGAAACAGAUCUUUCGCAAAGACAAUUUACAAGGUGCUGCAUGGUUGUCGU
This 253-nucleotide ribosomal RNA is filed under the name uncultured bacterium. Its description in RNAcentral is "partial 16S ribosomal RNA". It matches the Rfam family "Bacterial small subunit ribosomal RNA", at positions 793 to 1055 of the family's 1533-position model. The record is from RNAcentral.